Molecule: non-coding RNA, 3510 nt
Organism: Paramuricea clavata
Lineage: Eukaryota; Metazoa; Cnidaria; Anthozoa; Malacalcyonacea; Plexauridae
Source: the annotation of a GenBank genome assembly
AUUUCGAAAGCCAAGCAAGAUACGGAAUAAUUGUAAAGGAAGUUUAUAUAUCGUUUUAAAUGUUCUUUCAAAUAAGACAAACUUAAUUUAUAUUGCCAUAUCCCUUUAAUAAUAAUCUCACCUACUCCCCAACCGUGUGGAAUGAUAGAAGUCUGUUUUCCACGAGGCGAAUUUGUUUGCGCGAAGCAAAUUUUUCUUCUGUCAACAUCGCUUAUCACGUCAGCAACAACGAUGUUAACAGGAAAAAGUCGCUUCGCGUGAAUAAAUUCGCCUCGUGGAAAAGGGCUUAAAGCCCGUUUUCCACUAGGCGAAAUAGUUCGCGCGAAGCGUCAGGUGAAAAAGUAGGAACAUAUUGAAAUUUCUCUUCGCGCUAACAAAUUUGCCUAGUGGAAAACGGGCAUAAAUACUAUUGUAAAGCUCGCUGCGAAUACUUCGCAGCGGGCUUGCGAACUGGUUAUUGCGAUGAGACCGUAUAGUUAAUAGAGUACAUGGUUUGGAAACUCGAUGGGAUUACAGUACAACUCAUUAUUAACUAUGUCGUCUAGGUUUAUGAAAAAAUCUGGUCCUUCGUCGUCAUGUGCGCGUAUUGUAUUUUAGCCUAAUCAACCAAUAGCAAUGUUUAAAUUAACUCGUGGUUCAAGUCACGGAUGGAUAACUAAGCCAAAACAACAUUAUUGGUUGUUUGGACGAAAAUACAAUACGCGCCGGACGACGAAGGACCAUAUUUUUGCAUAAAUCUGGACAAAAACAUAGAUGAGUUGCAUUGUACUUACAUGGAGUUUCCAAACCAUGUAUUCUAUUAACUAUGGUGGAACAGAACCUUAAGGAGGCCCCCACAGCUUCAAAUAUAUAUCAGUGUUUUUAACUAAAAGCUCUUUAAAAGGUUUAUAGGCUGAGAAAACUCUAUUGCAUAAGCCUUGUUUCUUCGUAUAUCAAAGAGUAAUUUUAACACAAUCGUUACUGUUGACGUUACCAUGGCAACAUGACGUCACCACUUAUCUAGCCUAUAUCAGCCAAAAAAGCCAUCAUAGCGGGAAAAUAAUAACGGUGACCUACUUUUAUUAUUGCAGAAAGUACGUUAUUAUUACUUUCCGAAAACCGCUAGUGUUGUUUUCACAAAAACUACAUUGGCGAUUUUCAAAAAACUUGAAUGUCAUAAUAGUUUUCUGCAAUAAAAAGUCACCGUUCUUAUUGUUUCGCUAUGAUCAUGGCGCUUUUUUGGCUGAUACAGGCGAGGUAAAUGGUAACGUCAUGUUGCCAUAGUAACGUCAAGAGUAACGAUGUGUGUUAAAAUUACUCUUUGAUAUACGAGGAAACAAAGGCGUGUGCAAGAAAAUGAGGUUUUUCAGCCUAUAACCUUUAAAGAGCUUUUAGUUGAGAACACUGAUAUAUAUUAGAAACUGUAGGGAGCCUCCUUAAGGUGGAUUUCCACUUAUAGAGAAAACUUUCAUCGUCGAAAUAUUUCGCUUGAUUUCUUUCAAUUUUGACCAUGCGACUAAUCGAGCGAAAAAUUUCGACAACGAAAUUUUUGUUGCAAGUGGAAAUCCAGCUUUAAGUAUAGAAAUUAUAAAAGAAUAGAGUGGAAAUCCAGCUUUAAGCAUAGAAAUUAUAAAAGAAUAGAGUGGGCAUUUCAGGAAAGGUUCAGGGAAACGAAAGGGACAAAUUGAAGCUUGCUAAUGGGGGAAAAUGUGAGUUAUACUUGUUGAUUUUGAGCUUUUAAUCAUUGCUUGAACCAUGCUAAAACUCUGGAAAAAAUAGAUGUUUUCAAAGUUGUGUUAUUUAGAAUUUACAUCCGGGCAACGAGAUUUUAGCCAAUCAGAGAGCGUUAUUUGCCCCCAUUAACAAGCUUUAAUUUCUUUUAUAAUCUCUAUGGCUUUUAGACCGUUUUCCACUUCAAUCAUACCGAGGCGUAACGUAUUUCUUUAUUUGAUUGGAUACAAAAGAAAAUGCCACGACACGUUACGGUUGAAGUGGAAAACGGCCCGUGGAAAAGUAGCAAACGCAUUACGUAGGGCGUCUGGCGAACGCCUACGUUUCGACCGCAUACAUAUUUUUGGUGGCUCCCUACUGUUUUUUGCGGCUGGAAAAUUUUCAGUUUGGUGCGGAAUUUUUGAACAGUUGUUACUUGUUGGAAAAACAAUAGUAUAAAAUUUUUACCACAAAUGGCGUCAUUGCUAUGGUAGCCAAGUAAAAAAUCGGCCAUGUUGAAACGUCAUUGACUAAUUUAACUCGAAAAAAACAACGUGCAUGACCACCAUUUUUUGUUUUGAUUUUAUUUCGACUAGUGAAAAUAAUUAUUUAGUGAUCUUUUAUCGCCAGAUUUUUUCAAAUUAAAUAUUUUUAUCAAUUAGUUUUAUUAUAAUUAGAUAAAAAAAUUCUACACUGGUGAUUUUUUUAAAAGUUGGCUAAAUAAUUACUUUCACUAAUUGAAAACGUUUAGCAAAAUAAAAAAAGGGGGUCGCCGUUGUUAUUUUCGAGUUAAAUUGGUUUAAAACCAAAAAAUCGGCCAUAUUGAAACGUCAUGGUUACCAGAACUUUUGUACUCUUCAGGUAGGAUUUUCUAUAAUAUUUGCUUUUCAACAAGUAUAACAAAUGUCCAAAAAUGGUAAAUUUUCCAGCAACCUUUGGGGUAAAAAACUGUAUAUACGGGCCAUCCAGAAUGAAGGAACACCAAAUGUUUUCCGUGCAGGAUAUAGCGGAUAAUCCGUGCAAGCAGGUGGGAUGUUGCGAGACUUGUUCGAAAGUCGAGCAACAUCUCAAGUGCAUGAAUGACGCUAUCUUGCACGGAAAACCAUUUGGUAAAGGUACAUUUACACGCUGCGAUUAAUCGGGCCGAUUGCAGGUUUUGCUGAAUGUUAAUGACAGAAUGUUGUCAUUUGACAAUGUCGUCAGAUAACGUUAUUGACAGCCUAUAUUUCAAAUAUCAUUUAAUUAAAGCUGAAUCGGCCCGGUUAAUCGCAGCGUGUAAACGUACCUUAAUUGUUUUAUAAAAUAACUACAGUGAAACAAUGCGGGUUAACUUUAUCAACGUUAACUUUAUUUAAACGGUUAACUUUGUUAAUUCUAUUAGAACUUAACGUUUUGGUAACUCUCAACCUUUUAAAUUGUAUGUCAGUUCACUGUAGUUAUUAUAUAAAAUCUACAAUCUUUGACAAUAUAUAUUGGGACAACCUAGUUUUCACAUGCAUUCAGAUGUAUUAUACCAUUUCUUGAUACAUUUUUUAAACCUUCCCUCUACCUGUUUCAAUGUUGGCGUUUCCUAACCAGACAUCAGAUUUUUGUCGGCCCAACAUUGAACUGGGGGAACAGGGGAUCGUGUGAAAUUACAAUACCUGUCCCAUAGUUUUUGCCAACGAUUGUAGUAUAUCCCACAUUUUAGGCCGUUUGCCGUGACCCGAUAUCGUUCACUUUCAUUAAGCAUGUCGUGGAACUGAAAUAUUUUCACGGUAACUAACAUUUUAGAACACGCUGAAUUCAAAUCCGAAAAGUUGCCGCUCCGUAGACCCGCAG